This is a non-coding RNA of Vibrio coralliilyticus, 96 nucleotides long. NCBI's taxonomy places the organism in Bacteria, Pseudomonadati, Pseudomonadota, Gammaproteobacteria, Vibrionales, Vibrionaceae. The record is from Rfam.
UGACCCAUAUGGGUCACCUAGCCAACUGACGUUGUUAGUGAACUUAGUAUUCACAAAUUACAGCCAAUAGAAUUUAUUUCUACUGGCUAUUUUUUU